Long non-coding RNA from Ceratitis capitata (Mediterranean fruit fly), 993 nucleotides. RefSeq lists it as uncharacterized. Lineage: Eukaryota; Metazoa; Arthropoda; Insecta; Diptera; Tephritidae. The record is from RefSeq and is a predicted model, not a curated record. The transcript is spliced from 2 exons.
UUUUGAUAAACAAAAACAUUUGUCUUAAAUCUCGCCCAAAAGUGGAAUUGAAAUGCGAACUUUUUUUCGCGGUUAAUUUUUACAACUUUCCAAGUGACUUGACUCAGCAGCAGUGCAUCGAUGAAUUUAACUCAAAUUUCGACGAUAAAACUCCACCCUGAAGCAAUGUUUAUCGUUGGUAUGGUGAAUUUAAUCGAGGCCGUAGAUCACUACAAAGCGUAUUUCGUUAAGGUCGAUCAAAAUCAGUUCUUUUGCCGAAAACUAUUGUAAGAUCUUCAUGUGACAUGGGACAACUACUGUGGGCAUUAGUGGGCGCAGAUACAUUCCAUUCCAUUUAAUUUUGCAUGAACAUUUGACUGUAAAAAAAAUUUUCAUAUUGGAUCUCACACAAUAUGGAAAUCAGUCAAAAAAAAGGCUCAUGUCAUUGGUAGAAGGAAAUGUCCUAAACCCCAUUAGUGGUGCUGCCAAACAACUCUCGUGAUGGCUGAUGAACCGUGGAAACUGCAGUCGACUGUAUUUGUGUUUGAAGAUCAGUCAAAUCCAACAAGUGUUCUUCGGGCACGAAGCAUCUCCAAGCCAAUGGUUCCACUUCUUCACCGGUUGUCUUUAAAAAAAUCGAGAAAACCAACAGCCGUAGACGGAACGCACUGAUACAACUGCAUUUCUGAGCACCGGAAAUAUCGAUUUGUUGAGUCAUCCACGGCUUAGUGAUGACUUGACACCGAGUGACUCCUUUUUAUCGCCAAGCGUAAAAACUGCACUGUAAGUUCUAAGUUUUUGCACACCAGCUGAUGCAGUUGAUUCGCUUAAAAUGAUGUUUUAGAGAUACCUCAAUCAGUGUGGCUGCGACAAUUGAUACAAAUGCUUGAUGUCAAUGGUGAAUAUUUGUAAAAACCAUAAAACGAUAUAUGAUGUAUAAUACUUGUUUUUGUUCCCUAAUUCCGAAAUAUAAAUGGCAAACCUCAUCGGAGGUCAAUGUCGUCUUGGUCAGAG